AAGGGUUUUAGGGGAGACUUGGGAUUUAAUGAUCAACCUUCUUUCGGGGAGGUGUACUCGUUAUUUUCUGGGCCAGUAUGGGUUUAGACAGUGGGAUAAAAGUUUAAGAAUGUGGCCACACUCGUGUGGUGUUAUAGCUUAUUCCAAUACCACUCGUUUGGACCAAGGAACGCGAUUUUCUAGGAUACUGGCGUAAUCCCCUUAAACCA
This 209-nucleotide ribosomal RNA is filed under the name Pichiaceae sp. RNAcentral describes it as "partial large subunit ribosomal RNA". The record is from RNAcentral. Lineage: Eukaryota; Fungi; Ascomycota; Pichiomycetes; Pichiales; Pichiaceae.